This 479-nucleotide ribosomal RNA is filed under the name uncultured bacterium. RNAcentral's name for it is "bacterial SSU rRNA". It matches the Rfam family "Bacterial small subunit ribosomal RNA", at positions 207 to 702 of the family's 1533-position model. The record is from RNAcentral.
CAGCAAUGCGCUAAUAGAUGAGCCCGCGUAAGAUUAGCUAGUUGGUAAGGUAAAGGCUUACCAAGGCGACGAUCUUUAGCUGGUCUGAGAGGAUGACCAGCCACAUCGGGACUGAGACACGGCCCCGGACUCCUACGGGGAGGCAGCAGUCGGGAAUAUUGGACAAUGGGCGCAAGCCUGAUCCAGCAAUACCGCGUGUGUGAAGAAGGCCUGCGGGUUGUAAAGCACUUUCAGUUGGGAAGAUAAUGACGUUACCAACAGAAGAAGCACCGGCUAACUCCGUGCCAGCAGCCGCGGUAAUACGGAGGGUGCAAGCGUUAAUCGGAAUUACUGGGCGUAAAGCGCACGUAGGCGGUUUUCUAAGUCAGAUGUGAAAUCCCCGGGCUUAACCUGGGAACUGCACCUGAUACUGGAAGACUAGAAUGUGGGAGAGGAGAGUGGAAUUUCCGGUGUAGCGGUGAAAUGCAUAGAGAUCGGAA